CUUAAAUAUGGAAAAUCUUGUAUUUAUAAAGACAGAACACAUACUUCAUGAAUACAAAUUAAUCCCUGUAUUUAUUGACUUAAUGCAAUACAUUAAGUAUUUUUAAAAUCUACAUGGAGUCAUAUCACGGCUAGAACGUAGUAAUAGGCACACUCAAGACUUGCUGUUAUUCAUUAUCACAAAUUUGAUACAAAUUAUUUUAAACAUCAAAAUUACUUAAUCAUAGGAAAUAAGCAACUGAUAUAGGAAAUUUAAUUUUUCACCAAUCUCCCUAAACUUUAUAAAAACUCUUUGCAAUCCGACCAUUUGCACCCUUGGGCAGAAAACCGCCAGGCUCAUAUUCACUACCAGUUCCAUAAAUUAUUCUUAAAAUUUCAGGUGGAGUUCGGGCAUAGGAAAGGGAAUUGGCGUCUGCUGAUAAGACGUUAGUUUCAGUCUUUUGCUCAGCUCCAAGUUGUAGAGGUACAAUUAAACCUUCAUCUUUAAUCCCACACAUGGCAAGUUCGUUCCUUAGAUAUGAUAUACUGUUAGUGAACUCUGCCACAGUAAUAUUGUAAGGAUGCACUUUCUCAUAAGCUCUCCCAUAGAGCAGUGCUCGAAUCACUGCAUCUUGUCCGGCCUCCACGCCUAAAAGUGAUGCAGCAAGUUUUUUAGUAGGGUAGUUGGCUAGGUCUGGAAUGGUCCCAACAUAUCCCACCAGUCCCACAUAAGGAAUAACGUAGGACGCUAAGAGAUAGUUGACAGUGCUAAGGUAAGGGUUAAAUGGAGGGACUAAUUUGUAGCCAAGUGCUCUGUCAAACACUCUUGCAAAAUUUUGAGGGCUGAGAUCAUAUUGAGGCCUUGGAAAUCCACCAACCGUUGUUAUAAUAGCCCUGAAGAAAAAUCACCCGUUAGAUGAACAAAAAAAUUAAUUUUGUAACCUUCUGUGUUUCUGGAAUAAAAAAAGUUACUAAGGCGUGUAGUUUCUCUCUCACAACCUGAGAUGGCCGAUUUCUUCAUAACCAAAUUCCUCAAUGAUCUGACGAGAAACAAGAUCAAGUUUCGCCUUUUGGGCUCCAAUCGGAGGAGGACCUCCACCGGCUAAAGCAGGAGCAAGAGCAUCAAGCCCGAGACCAAGUGCACCAAACAAGAAGAAUUCUGCUUCAAAGAAUUCCAAAUUCAAAGCGAACUGAAGUCGAUCCCUGUCGUCAGCCUUUAUAGGUCCACAGUAAGCAGAAGCCAGUGCAAGGGUAGAAGCCAAAACAACAAGACAAACGAGUGCGAAGAAGAAAGAAUAACUGUUACCCAUCUCGCUAGGACACUCAACCAAUAGAGAAAACUGACUCAGCUAUAACUGGUAUAUACGUGCAUGGAGGAGCUAUAUAAUCAUCUGGUUUAUGUACAGACAGCACAUUCAUAGACCUAAGGGAAGAUAAGCAAAUUACAAGACAGAAAGAGACACGGAAAAAUCUGGCUGCUAAUAGAUGGCAUGUGCACAGCCCUUCUCUUACCCUUCUAGAUCGUGUGAGCUCAUUCGGAUUUUUGGCCCUUUAGUCACAAGAAAAAAAUAGAUAAAUAGCAUGGAGUACACUAAUGAAGCAUGCACGCCAUGCAAGGAAAUUAGUCCACGUAUUGGAUAGGUUGUUGCGGUUGGUACAAGUAACCUCUUCCCUUAUAGUCUCCAGAUGUAGUUAUGUUGCUAACGUAAGUGCUAAUUCUGAAUUUUGCUGCUUCGGAAGAAAUACAAGUUAACCAUCUAAUUAAUCUUGUUUACCCUUUUUAUUAACGAA
This 1769-nucleotide unclassified non-coding RNA is filed under the name Hevea brasiliensis (rubber tree). Lineage: Eukaryota; Viridiplantae; Streptophyta; Magnoliopsida; Malpighiales; Euphorbiaceae. The record is from RNAcentral.